This is a non-coding RNA of Glycine max (soybean), 120 nucleotides long. The record is from Rfam. NCBI's taxonomy places the organism in Eukaryota, Viridiplantae, Streptophyta, Magnoliopsida, Fabales, Fabaceae.
UUCUUAUUGAAUGAUGAUUGUCACGUACCAUGUUAUGAUUGGAUAUCAACUCCAUGAAAGAUGAAAUGCAUUAUUAUUUUCACUAACCAAUCAUAACAUAACACGUGAUCGUCAUCAUCC